This 419-nucleotide ribosomal RNA is filed under the name uncultured bacterium. RNAcentral describes it as "bacterial SSU rRNA". It matches the Rfam family "Bacterial small subunit ribosomal RNA", at positions 358 to 774 of the family's 1533-position model. The record is from RNAcentral.
GGAAUAUUGGUCAAUGGCCGGAAGGCUGAACCAGCCAUGCCGCGUGCAGGACGAAGGCCCUACGGGUCGUAAACUGCUUUUGCGGUGGAGCAAUAAGGUGUACGCGUACACCGAUGAGAGUACAUCGCGAAUAAGCAUCGGGUAACUCCGUGCCAGCAGCCGCGGUAAUACGGAGGAUGCGAGCGUUAUCCGGAUUUAUUGGGUUUAAAGGGUGCGUAGGCUGUGCUGCAAGUCGGGGGUGAAAUAUCCGGGCUCAACCGGGAGGGUGCCUUCGAUACUGCAGUGCUGGAAUACUGUUGCCGCGGGAGGAAUGAGUAGUGUAGCGGUGAAAUGCAUAGAUAUUACUCAGAACACCGAUUGCGAAGGCAUCUCGCGAAGCAGUUAUUGACGCUGAGGCACGAAAGCGUGGGGAUCAAACA